GAUGAACGCUGGCGGCGUGCUUAACACAUGCAAGUCGAACGAUGAAGCCCAGCUUGCUGGGUGGAUUAGUGGCGAACGGGUGAGUAACACGUGAGUAACCUGCCCUUAACUCUGGGAUAAGCCUGGGAAACUGGGUCUAAUACCGGAUAGGAGCGUCCACCGCAUGGUGGGUGUUGGAAAGAUUUAUCGGUUUUGGAUGGACUCGCGGCCUAUCAGCUUGUUGGUGAGGUAAUGGCUCACCAAGGCGACGACGGGUAGCCGGCCUGAGAGGGUGACCGGCCACACUGGGACUGAGACACGGCCCAGACUCCUACGGGAGGCAGCAGUGGGGAAUAUUGCACAAUGGGCGCAAGCCUGAUGCAGCGACGCCGCGUGAGGGAUGACGGCCUUCGGGUUGUAAACCGCUUUCGCCUGUGACGAAGCGUGAGUGACGGUAAUGGGUAAAGAAGCACCGGCUAACUACGUG
This 466-nucleotide ribosomal RNA is filed under the name uncultured bacterium. RNAcentral describes it as "partial 16S ribosomal RNA". It matches the Rfam family "Bacterial small subunit ribosomal RNA", at positions 28 to 507 of the family's 1533-position model. The record is from RNAcentral.